Dermochelys coriacea (leatherback sea turtle) is the source of this 172-nucleotide long non-coding RNA. RefSeq lists it as uncharacterized. Lineage: Eukaryota; Metazoa; Chordata; Testudines; Dermochelyidae. The transcript has 3 exons. The record is from RefSeq and is a predicted model, not a curated record.
CCUUGUUUCCCUUAAAACAGUGGUUCCCAAACUGGGGUUCACGAAUGCCUGGAGGUUCGCAGAACAUUACAGGGGGUUCGCCAGAAAAAUUUCACUAAUGGCGGCCAGAGGACCCAAGGCAUUGGAGGCAGCAGGUGGGACCCAGUUAAAGGGCAGACAGCCCGAGCCCCAG